This 2116-nucleotide long non-coding RNA is filed under the name Malus domestica (apple). RNAcentral's name for it is "long non-coding RNA (MDOM_LNC020561)". The record is from RNAcentral. Lineage: Eukaryota; Viridiplantae; Streptophyta; Magnoliopsida; Rosales; Rosaceae.
ACAACCUUGUGAGACUUGAGCCUAAACAUUUAUUUGGAGAGUUAAUAAUCUGUGCAUCAUUGUUUUCUAAAGUUGUUGCAUGAUCUCAUUAUUCUUUGCUUGGUUGCUACUUAAAAGGCGUUUCAUCAUUUAGUUCCAAAUGCUAGAACUCAUGCCUAUUUCAUUCAAAGCAUGCUAUUGAUUUGCAUAACACAUAUUGGAGAUGAAGUUGUGUAGUGACCACCAAAGCCAAAUUGCCGUGCCCCUAUUUCAUUAUGUGUUAAGUUUAACCCCGUUGAGCCUUGUUAAGCCUAUGUUCUUUGUUAAUCCACACUAUCCUUACCUAGCCUAGUUUUAGGACCAUCCAUACCCUUGUUCUUGAAGCAUAGUAAAGCAUGACUUAAAAUGAACUCCUUUUUUAUCAAUGUAUUGCAGAAAACAAGUGUGGGGGAAGUGAUUCUUGUGUGUGUAUGUGUGCCAAAGUCCUUACUAAGGCAUGGGUAGAAAAAAAAAAUAAAAGGAGUGAAAAGAAAAAAGUUUGUUAAAAAAAGGGUCCAAAACAUUGAAUUCGACCCUAAGUGUUGCAUGAAUCUUCCCUUUGUAUUUAAAAGUUGAUUCUGCAUUCUAAAGUGAAUUCCAAGUGUCUAUUUCAUUGCUUUGCUUGUUAUCGCUUUAAGAACGUUUGUUAUUCCUAUCCUUUCUUUAUUAGUCAUUACCCUCAAGCCCUGUUACAAUCCUUGACUUCAAUCUUGAGUGUUGUGUGUUUCAAUUUGUGGAGUUUGAAAUUGGUAUGAGCAUAUGGUGUCAUUGGUUCUCGCAUCUAAGUAAUAGCAUUCCAUUCAUGAGAUCAUAUCUAAACAUGCUUAAUAACUCCAAAAAAUUGCUUUCUUUGUUAUAACAUAUGUGAGUCCUAGUCUUUCGUGUUUACAUUAAUCUUCUCACAUAUACUAGUGUAGGGUGUGUAGUCAGAAAAUGUGUGUGAAAAUAGAGAGUAUCUUGUACGAAAUUGAGCAAAUUCUCUAAGGCAUGUUACUACAUUCAAAACAUCGUUUUAAUUGGUUAAUUGUGAACUAGUAAGUGGUGACUGUGAUUAAGUAUGUGCUCAAGUGUAAAGAUGACCAAAAUCUAUGGGAAUGAUGAUUUUUAACAUGUCAUGUUUCAUUAAAAAUCCCUGAGGCAAAUGUUGGAAGGUCUAGGUUGUGUUUUGUUUGUUUCGUUUGUUUUGUUUUGCUUGAGGACUAGCAAAAGCUAAGUGUGGGGGAAUUUGAUAGGAGCAUAUUUAUGCCACUGAGUUAGCUUGUUCUCAUGCAUUUAUGUUGUUAUUUCUUAGUUAAUUAUGUAUUUUAAGCUAUUUUCAUGUGUUUGUAGGUCCAUAGGCUUUAUGAAGUAAUAAGAUGCAUUUUGGUGCAUUUUGGAGCAGUUUUGGGCUUGGAAUGAAUAGCACAUGCAUGGAGCAAGGUGGAUGGACGAAAUUGAAGACUAAAGAGGCUAGGAAUGUGUUAAAGAGAAAGAAGAAUUAAUGUAAAAAGGACAAAGAGCUCAGCCACAAAGGGGUGUCACUCCACCAUUCACCUUUCCAUCAUUGCCGAGCACCACCAUUGCACUCCCUUUGGAUUCCUAUGCCGUGCAUCAUCAUUCCUUGUUCCCUCCAUCAUUUCAAAUUUCAUGCAUCAUUACAUUGAAUCAUUGCACUUAAUUGCUACAUCAUUCCUUGUUCCCUCCAUCAUUUCAGAUUCAUGCAUCAUUAGAUUGAAUUAUUGCACUCAAUUGCUACACCAUUCCUUAUUCCCUCCAUCAUUUCAUAUUUCAUGCAUCAUUCCAUAUUCCCCUCCAUUGCCAUGCACUUCCUCUAUAAAAGGAAGUGUGUGUAACAUAAAUUUAGUUCAUACUUAGUUAGAUCAUUCACUCCCAUUUCAACACAACCUUCAUCCAAACACAUCCAUUCAUCUUCACAUCUAUUCCUCCAUACAAACAAACCUUCAAACACUCACCAACACCUUGUGCCGUAGCAAAGGAAGGGAAGGAAAGUGCUUGGACGUGCUUGCUGUCCAACUUGGAUCGUUUGAGCGUUUAGGUGUUUUCUUUCUUUUGUUUCUAAUGUUUAAAUUCAUUUCCUUUUGUUUUGUUGUAAAUAUGA